GACAAAGGGAGUAUAAGUUUCCAUGUCCAACUUUGAUCUUUCGUCUUAUUUGAAAUUUUUCUAUAAUUAGCAUACUUAUUGUUAUUAGAUGAUAAAAUAUGAGUAAUACUUUAUGCAUGACUUCUGUUUUUAAUUUUUUUUUAAAAAUAAAACUAACGAUUAAAAUUAGUCAUGUAAAUACGCAUGGAUA
Molecule: microRNA precursor, 190 nt
Filed under: Oryza rufipogon (brownbeard rice)
Lineage: Eukaryota; Viridiplantae; Streptophyta; Magnoliopsida; Poales; Poaceae
Description: MIR812 microRNA precursor family
Rfam family: MIR812 microRNA precursor family
Source: Rfam by way of RNAcentral